RNAcentral lists this ribosomal RNA (472 nucleotides) under uncultured soil bacterium. RNAcentral's name for it is "bacterial SSU rRNA". It matches the Rfam family "Bacterial small subunit ribosomal RNA", at positions 26 to 518 of the family's 1533-position model. The record is from RNAcentral.
AGGACGAACGCUGGCGGCGUGCUUAACACAUGCAAGUCGAGCGGUAAGGCCUUUCGGGGUACACGAGCGGCGAACGGGUGAGUAACACGUGGGUGAUCUGCCCUGCACUCUGGGAUAAGCCUGGGAAACUGGGUCUAAUACCGGAUAUGACCUGCUCUCGCAUGGGGGGUGGGUGGAAAGAUUUAUCGGUGCAGGAUGGGCCCGCGGCCUAUCAGCUUGUUGGUGGGGUAAUGGCCUACCAAGGCGACGACGGGUAGCCGACCUGAGAGGGUGACCGGCCACACUGGGACUGAGACACGGCCCAGACUCCUACGGGAGGCAGCAGUGGGAAUAUUGCACAAUGGGCAAAGCCUGAUGCAGCGACGCCGCGUGAGGAUGAAGGCCUUCGGGUUGUAAACCUCUUUCAGCAGGACGAAGCGCAAGUGACGGUACCUGCAGAAGAAGCACCGGCUAACUACGUGCCAGCAGCCGC